This 465-nucleotide ribosomal RNA is filed under the name Vreelandella stevensii. RNAcentral's name for it is "partial 16S ribosomal RNA". It matches the Rfam family "Bacterial small subunit ribosomal RNA", at positions 338 to 795 of the family's 1533-position model. The record is from RNAcentral. Lineage: Bacteria; Pseudomonadati; Pseudomonadota; Gammaproteobacteria; Oceanospirillales; Halomonadaceae.
CCUACGGGAGGCUGCAGUGGGGAAUAUUGGACAAUGGGGGGAACCCUGAUCCAGCCAUGCCGCGUGUGUGAAGAAGGCCCUCGGGUUGUAAAGCACUUUCAGUGAGGAAGAACGCCUGGUGGUUAAUACCCAUCAGGAAAGACAUCACUCACAGAAGAAGCACCGGCUAACUCCGUGCCAGCAGCCGCGGUAAUACGGAGGGUGCGAGCGUUAAUCGGAAUUACUGGGCGUAAAGCGCGCGUAGGUGGCUUGAUAAGCCGGUUGUGAAAGCCCCGGGCUCAACCUGGGAACGGCAUCCGGAACUGUCAAGCUAGAGUGCAGGAGAGGAAGGUAGAAUUCCCGGUGUAGCGGUGAAAUGCGUAGAGAUCGGGAGGAAUACCAGUGGCGAAGGCGGCCUUCUGGACUGGCACUGACACUGAGGUGCGAAAGCGUGGGUAGCAAACAGGAUUAGAUACCCGGGUAGUC